Molecule: long non-coding RNA, 295 nt
Organism: Xenia sp. Carnegie-2017
Lineage: Eukaryota; Metazoa; Cnidaria; Anthozoa; Malacalcyonacea; Xeniidae
Exons: 2
Source: RefSeq, a predicted model, not a curated record
GAAGAGAAGUCCGAAAUAACAUCCACAGUAGAAGAGUUAAAUUGCCUCUCAAGUCUGUGUGGUCUUCCUACGACAAGUGCGGAAGAAGUCAUGUCUGGAUAUUUUGUUUGGUCGUUUAACCAGUGUGACAUAGAUAGUACGACUUCACCUGAUAUACCUGUGCGUUUCAAGGCACAAAUUGUCGAUAAGUACAUGUUAGUUAAAAGAUUGGAAGAGGAAAAAGCACUUCUGAACAUGGAGAUGAAAAAUUAUAUGAUUUAUUAUUUGGAAAACGUUUUGCCUCUCCUUUGUGAAA